AAACUUUCAACAACGGAUCUCUUGGUUCUGGCAUCGAUGAAGAACGCAGCGAAAUGCGAUAAGUAAUGUGAAUUGCAGAAUUCAGUGAAUCAUCGAAUCUUUGAACGCACAUUGCGCCCUCUGGUAUUCCGGGGGGCAUGCCUGUUCGAGCGUCGCAA
This 158-nucleotide ribosomal RNA is filed under the name Gintarasia megalophthalma. RNAcentral's name for it is "5.8S ribosomal RNA". It matches the Rfam family "5.8S ribosomal RNA". From Rfam's summary of the family: 5.8S ribosomal RNA (5.8S rRNA) is a component of the large subunit of the eukaryotic ribosome. It is transcribed by RNA polymerase I as part of the 45S precursor that also contains 18S and 28S rRNA. The record is from RNAcentral. Lineage: Eukaryota; Fungi; Ascomycota; Lecanoromycetes; Ostropales; Graphidaceae.